This 87-nucleotide transfer RNA is filed under the name Rhodospirillaceae bacterium. Its description in RNAcentral is "tRNA-Leu". It matches the Rfam family "tRNA". Rfam says of the family: Transfer RNA (tRNA) molecules are approximately 80 nucleotides in length. Their secondary structure includes four short double-helical elements and three loops (D, anti-codon, and T loops). Further hydrogen bonds mediate the characteristic L-shaped molecular structure. tRNAs have two regions of fundamental functional importance: the anti-codon, which is responsible for specific mRNA codon recognition, and the 3' end, to which the tRNAs corresponding amino acid is attached (by aminoacyl-tRNA synthetases). tRNAs cope with the degeneracy of the genetic code in two manners: having more than one tRNA (with a specific anti-codon) for a particular amino acid; and 'wobble' base-pairing, i.e. permitting non-standard base-pairing at the 3rd anti-codon position. RNAcentral also lists the same sequence under 1 other name. Lineage: Bacteria; Pseudomonadati; Pseudomonadota; Alphaproteobacteria; Rhodospirillales; Rhodospirillaceae. The record is from RNAcentral.
GCGGUCGUGGCGGAAUUGGUAGACGCGCAGCGUUGAGGUCGCUGUGGGCGCAAGCCCGUGGAAGUUCGAGUCUUCUCGACCGCACCA